CAGCCGCCGCGGGAAUACGAAGGGUGCAAGCGUUACUCGGAAUUACUGGGCGUAAAGCGUGCGUAGGUGGUGGUUUAAGUCCGUUGUGAAAGCCCUGGGCUCAACCUGGGAAUUGCAGUGGAUACUGGGUCACUAGAGUGUGGUAGAGGAUAGUGGAAUUUCCGGUGUAGCAGUGAAAUGCGUAGAGAUCGGGAGGAACAUCAGUGGCGAAGGCGGCCAUCUGGGACAACACUGACGCUGAGGCACGAAAGCGUGGGGAGCAAACAGGAUUAGAUACCCUGUAGUCCCUGUCUCUUAUACC
This 301-nucleotide ribosomal RNA is filed under the name uncultured bacterium. RNAcentral's name for it is "partial 16S ribosomal RNA". It matches the Rfam family "Bacterial small subunit ribosomal RNA", at positions 509 to 808 of the family's 1533-position model. The record is from RNAcentral.